Molecule: ribosomal RNA, 443 nt
Filed under: uncultured bacterium
Lineage: Bacteria
Description: partial 16S ribosomal RNA
Rfam family: Bacterial small subunit ribosomal RNA
Source: RNAcentral
CCUACGGGUGGCAGCAGUGGGGGAUAUUGGACAAUGGGGGGAACCCUGAUCCAGCGACGCCGCGUGAGUGAAGAAGUAUUUCGGUAUGUAAAGCUCUGUCAGCAGGGAAGAAAGAAAUGACGGUACCUGACCAAGAAGCCCCGGCUAACUACGUGCCAGCAGCCGCGGUAAUACGUAGGGGGCAAGCGUUAUCCGGAAUUACUGGGUGUACAGGGAGCGUAGACGGUGAGGUAAGUCUGAAGUGAAAGGCCGGGGCCCAACCCCGGGACUGCUGUGGAAACUAUUUGACUAGAGAGCAGGAGAGGUAAGCGGAAUGCAUGGUGUAGCGGUGAAAUGCGUAGAGAUUAGGAGGAACACCAGUGGCGAAGGCGGCUUACUGGACUGUAACUGACGUUGAGGCUCGAAAGCGUGGGGAGCAAACAGGAUUAGAUACCCCAGUAGUC